RNAcentral lists this ribosomal RNA (253 nucleotides) under uncultured bacterium. RNAcentral's name for it is "partial 16S ribosomal RNA". It matches the Rfam family "Bacterial small subunit ribosomal RNA", at positions 524 to 776 of the family's 1533-position model. The record is from RNAcentral.
AACGUAGGUUCCGAGCGUUAUCCGGAUUUACUGGGCGUAAAGCGUGUUCAGGCGGCUCAGCAAGUCAGGCAUGAAAUCUCUCGGCUCAACCGGGAGAGGCUGUCCGAUACUGCUGGGCUUGAGGGCAGUAGAGGGUGGUGGAAUUCCGGGUGUAGUGGUGAAAUGCGUAGAUAUCCGGAGGAACACCAGUGGCGAAAGCGGCCACCUGGACUGCACCUGACGCUGACACGCGAAAGCUAGGGGAGCGAACGGG